This 207-nucleotide ribosomal RNA is filed under the name uncultured bacterium. RNAcentral describes it as "partial 16S ribosomal RNA". It matches the Rfam family "Bacterial small subunit ribosomal RNA", at positions 568 to 774 of the family's 1533-position model. The record is from RNAcentral.
CUCGUAGGCGGUCUGUUGCGUCCGCUGUGAAAUCUCGGGGCUUAACCCCGAGCCUGCAGUGGAUACGGGCAGACUAGAGGUAGGUAGGGGAGAAUGGAAUUCCCGGUGUAGCGGUGAAAUGCGCAGAUAUCGGGAGGAACACCGGUGGCGAAGGCGGUUCUCUGGGCCUUACCUGACGCUGAGGAGCGAAAGCGUGGGGAGCGAACA